This 2685-nucleotide ribosomal RNA is filed under the name Nicotiana tabacum (common tobacco). RNAcentral describes it as "eukaryotic LSU rRNA". The stretch from base 546 to 2685 matches the Rfam family "Eukaryotic large subunit ribosomal RNA". The record is from RNAcentral. Lineage: Eukaryota; Viridiplantae; Streptophyta; Magnoliopsida; Solanales; Solanaceae.
AUGAGUUUCGUCGAAGUUUGACAUUUUGAGAUAAAAUACGGUCCAAGCUAUAAUACCCCGUAUUUAUGGACUAGUACCAUACAAGGUACCAUAUGACCAUAGCCGCGACCGAUAUCGUGCCACGGCUACGACCGACAUCAUGCCAUGGCCAUGCCCUACCACGUCUGACAUCAGGCCUUAGGCAUGCCCUGCUAUGCCCGACGUCCUGCCAUGGCCAUGUCUGACAUCGUUCCAUGGCCGCGUCUGACGUCGGGCCAUGGCCAUGCCCUGCCCCGUCUGAUGUCUUGCCAUGGCCAUGUAAUCCCUCGUGCCAUGUCUUGCCAUGUCCUGCGUCGUGCCAUGGCCAAGACCUGCCACGUCCGGCAUCGUGCCAUGGCCGCGUCUGACAUCGUGCCAUGGCCGCGUCUGACAUCGUACCAUGGCCGCGUCUGACAUCGUCCACGCCCUGCCUGGUACUGGCAUUGCUCAUGGCAGCAUCUGGUUUUUGGCAACGGAAUGAUGGAGCGUCAUGCGCACGGUGCCGCAAGGUGCCAUGCGUGUGGGGCUAAGCUCAGUACAUGUCGAAUGUUGUAUGGUUAUUAUGGGUUGUGUCUGUGCCUUUAACUUGUGGCGCCUUCUUCGUGCGGGCUUCUUCACCGACCUUGAUCUUCUUUUGAACUAUGCCUGAGUAGGGCGAAGCUAGAGGAAACUCUGGUAGAGGCCCGCAGCGAUACUGACAUGCAAAUUNCCUAUUCUCAAACUUUAAAUAGGUAGGACGGUGCGACUGCUUUGUUGAGCCACACCACAGAAUCAAGAGCUCCAAGUGGGCCAUUUUUGGUAAGAAGAACUAGCGAUGCGGGAUGAACCGGAAGUCAGGUUAUAGUGCCAAACUACGCGCUAACCUAGAUCCCACAAAGGAUGUUGGUCGAUUAAGACAGCAGGACGGUGGUCAUGGAAGUCAAAAUCCGCUAAGGAGUGUGUAACAAAUCACCUGCUGAAUCAACUAGCUCCAAAAAUGGAUGGCGCUUAAGCGCGUGACUUACACCCGGACGUCGGGGCAAGUUCCAAGCCUCGAUGAGUAAGAGGGCGCGGCGGUCACUGUAAAACCUUAGGCGUGAGUCUGGGCAGAGCGGCCUUCAGUGCAGAUCUUAGUGGUAGUAGCAAAUAUUCAAAUGAGAACUUUGAAAGCCGAAGAGGGGAAAGGAUCCAUGUGAACGUCACUUUCACAUGGGUUAGUCAAUCCUAAGGGUCGGGGGAACCCUGACAGAUAGCGCGUUUUACGCGUACUCUGAAAGGGAAUCAGGUUAAAAUUCCUGAACUAGGGCGUGGCGGUUGACGGCAACAUUAGGAAGUCCGACGACGUUGGCGGGGGCCUCGGGAAGAGUUAUCUUUUCUGUUUAACAACCUGCUCACCCUGGAAAUUACUCAGUCGAAGGUAGGGUCCAGCGGCUGGAAGAGCACCGCACGUCGCGUGGUGUCCGGUGCGCCCCCGGCGGCCCUUGAAAAUUUGGAGGACCGAGUGUCGUCCAUGCCCGGUCAUACUCAUAACCGCAUCAGGUCUCCAAGGUGAACAUCCUCUGGUCGAUGGAACAAUGUAGGCAAGGGAAGUCAACAAAAUGGUUCCGUAACUUCGGAAAAAGGAUUAUCUCUAAGGGUUGGGGACAGGGGUCCCAGUCGUGAACCCAUCGGCUAUCGGCGGACUGCUCGAUCUGCUCCUGCGGCGAGAGCGGGUCACCGCAUGCUGGCCGGGGAACGGACUGGAAACGGCUCCUUCAGGGGCCUUCCCCGGGCGUCGAAAAACAAACUUAGAACUGGUACGGACAAGGGGAAUCUGACUGUUUAUUUAAAACAAAGCAUUGCGAUGAUCCCUGCGGAUGUUUAUGCAAUGUGAUUUCUGCCAAUGCUCUGAAUGUCAAAGUGAAGAAAUUCAACCAAGCGCGGAUAAACGAUGGGAGUAACUAUGACUCUUUUAAGGUAGCCAAAUGUAUCGUCAUCAAAUUAGUGACGCACAUGAAUGGAUUAACGAGAUUCCCACUAUCCUUGUAUACUAUCCAGCAAAAUCACAGUCAAGGGAACGGGCUUGGCAGAAUCAGCAGGGAAAGAAGACCCUGUUAAGCUUGACUCUAGUCCGGCUCUUUGAAAUGACUUGAGAAUCGGGGCACUGCCCCUCUUUUUGGACCCAAAGCUUGCUUGUAGGCCGAUCCGGGCGGAAGACAUUGUUAGGUAGGGAGUUUGGCUUGGGCGACACAUCUGUUAAAAGAUAACGCAGGUGUCCUAAGAUGAGCUCAAUGAGAACAUAAAUCUCGUGUGGAGCAGAAGGGUAAAAGCUCGUUUGAUUCUAAUUUCAAAUACAAAUAGGAACCGUGAAAGCGUGGCCUAACAAUCCUUUAGACCUUCGAAAUUCGAAGCUAUAGGUGUCAGAAAAGUUACCACAGGGAUAACUGGCUUGUGGCACCCAAGCGUUCAUAGAGACGUUGCUUUUUGAUCCUUUGAUGUCGUCUCUACUUAUCAUUGUGAAGCAUAAUUCACCAAGUGUUGGAUUGUUCACCCACCAAUAGGGAACGUGAGCAGGGUUUAGACCGUCGUGAGACAGGUUAGUUUUACCCUACUGAUGAUAGUGUCGCAAUAGUAAUUCAACCUAGUACUAGAGGAACCAUUGAUUAGCACAAUUGGUCAUCGCGCUUGGUUGAAAAUCCAUUAGAAACU